Molecule: ribosomal RNA, 231 nt
Filed under: uncultured Staphylococcus sp.
Lineage: Bacteria; Bacillati; Bacillota; Bacilli; Caryophanales; Staphylococcaceae
Description: partial 16S ribosomal RNA
Rfam family: Bacterial small subunit ribosomal RNA
Source: RNAcentral
AGUAACACGUGGAUAACCUACAUAUAAGACUGGGAUAACUUCGGGAAACCGGAGCUAAUACCGGAUAAUAUAUUGAACCGCAUGGUUCAAUAGUGAAAGACGGUUUUGCUGUCACUUAUAGAUGGAUCCGCGCCGCAUUAGCUAGUUGGUAAGGUAACGGCUUACCAAGGCAACGAUGCGUAGCCGACCUGAGAGGGUGAUCGGCCACACUGGAACUGAGACACGGUCCAG